This 395-nucleotide ribosomal RNA is filed under the name Salmonella enterica. RNAcentral describes it as "partial 23S ribosomal RNA". It matches the Rfam family "Bacterial large subunit ribosomal RNA", at positions 877 to 1269 of the family's 2925-position model. Lineage: Bacteria; Pseudomonadati; Pseudomonadota; Gammaproteobacteria; Enterobacterales; Enterobacteriaceae. The record is from RNAcentral. RNAcentral also lists the same sequence under 1 other name.
GCGCCUCGUGAAUUCAUCUCCGGGGGUAGAGCACUGUUUCGGCUAGGGGGCCAUCCCGGCUUACCAACCCGAUGCAAACUGCGAAUACCGGAGAAUGUUAUCACGGGAGACACACGGCGGGUGCUAACGUCCGUCGUGAAGAGGGAAACAACCCAGACCGCCAGCUAAGGUCCCAAAGUCAUGGUUAAGUGGGAAACGAUGUGGGAAGGCCCAGACAGCCAGGAUGUUGGCUUAGAAGCAGCCAUCAUUUAAAGAAAGCGUAAUAGCUCACUGGUCGAGUCGGCCUGCGCGGAAGAUGUAACGGGGCUAAACCAUGCACCGAAGCUGCGGCAGCGACACUGUGUGUUGUUGGGUAGGGGAGCGUUCUGUAAGCCUGUGAAGGUGUGUCGUGAGGC